RNAcentral lists this ribosomal RNA (253 nucleotides) under uncultured bacterium. RNAcentral's name for it is "partial 16S ribosomal RNA". It matches the Rfam family "Bacterial small subunit ribosomal RNA", at positions 524 to 776 of the family's 1533-position model. The record is from RNAcentral.
UACGGGGGGUGCGAGCGUUGUCCGGAAUCACUGGGCGUAAAGGGCGCGUAGGUGGUCUGAUAAGGGUGUGGUGAAAGCCCGGGGCUCAACCCCGGGUCGGCCGUGCCGACUGUUAGACUAGAGUACUGUAGGGGCAGGCGGAAUUCCGGGUGUAGCGGUGGAAUGCGUAGGGAUCCGGAGGAAGACCUGUGGCGAAGGCGGCCUGCUGGGCAGUUACUGACACUGAGGCGCGACAGCGUGGGGAGCAAACAGG